This is a non-coding RNA of Pelobates cultripes (western spadefoot toad), 293 nucleotides long. The record is from the annotation of a GenBank genome assembly. NCBI's taxonomy places the organism in Eukaryota, Metazoa, Chordata, Amphibia, Anura, Pelobatidae.
GUUAAUUUAUUGUAACAAAAUAAUUAUUCAUGAUAAUUGUCCUUAAUUUCAGAUCAUGCAUUUUCACUUUUAAUCCUGUGCAAUCUACAGCUUAACAUCUAUCCAUUUUAUUUUUUUUAUUAUUGUUUUAAGCAGAAUUUAAUUAUGCUGGUAAACUGGUCCAGUGCAUAUCAAGUAGAACUAGCUCAAUAAGACGUGCUAUAAUCCUGCAUAGUCCUCAAUGCAAUUCAUUUAGAGUUUUUUUGUAUUUGUAGUGUCUGUUUAUCAUUUAUAUAGAGUAUUGGUAAUAGGUC